GACGAACGCUGGCGGCGUGCUUAACACAUGCAAGUCGAGCGGUAAGGCCCUUUCGGGGGUACACGAGCGGCGAACGGGUGAGUAACACGUGGGUGACCUGCCCUCAGCUCUGGGAUAAGCCUGGGAAACCGGGUCUAAUACUGGAUAUGACUCCAUGACGCAUGUUGUGGGGUGGAAAGCCUUGUGCGGCUGAGGAUGGGCCCGCGGCCUAUCAGCUUGUUGGUGGGGUGANGGCCUACCAAGGCGACGACGGGUAGCCGGCCUGAGAGGGCGACCGGCCACACUGGGACUGAGACACGGCCCAGACUCCUACGGGAGGCAGCAGUGGGGAAUAUUGGACAAUGGGCGCAAGCCUGAUCCAGCGAUGCCGCGUGUGUGAAGAAGGCC
RNAcentral lists this ribosomal RNA (387 nucleotides) under uncultured bacterium. RNAcentral describes it as "bacterial SSU rRNA". It matches the Rfam family "Bacterial small subunit ribosomal RNA", at positions 28 to 416 of the family's 1533-position model. The record is from RNAcentral.